Molecule: ribosomal RNA, 510 nt
Filed under: uncultured bacterium
Lineage: Bacteria
Description: bacterial SSU rRNA
Rfam family: Bacterial small subunit ribosomal RNA
Source: RNAcentral
UAGUCCACGCCGUAAACGAUGGAUACUAGCUGUUUAGUUUUUGAUUUACAAAGAUUAAGUGGCCAAGCGAAAGUGAUAAGUAUCCCACCUGGGGAGUACGUUCGCAAGAAUGAAACUCAAAGGAAUUGACGGGGGCCCGCACAAGCGGUGGAGCAUGUGGUUUAAUUCGAUGAUACGCGAGGGACCUUACCAAGGCUUAAAUGCAAUACGCAUAGGUUGGAAACAGCCUAGUCCACUGGACGGAUUGCAAGGUGCUGCAUGGUUGUCGUCAGCCCGUGCCGUGAGGUGUCAGGUUAAGUCCUAUAACGAGCGCAACCCCUGUUGUUAGUUGCCAACAUGUAAAGAUGGGAACUCUAACAAGACUGCCAGUGCAAACUGUGAGGAAGGUGGGGAUGACGUCAAAUCAUCACGGCCCUUACGUCCUGGGCUACACAUGUGCUACAAUGGUAGGGACAGAGAGCAGCCACUGGGCGACCAGGAGCGAAUCUAUAAACCCUAUCACAGUUCGGA